RNAcentral lists this long non-coding RNA (327 nucleotides) under Helianthus annuus (common sunflower). Its description in RNAcentral is "sRNA HanXRQr2_Chr09g0377081". Lineage: Eukaryota; Viridiplantae; Streptophyta; Magnoliopsida; Asterales; Asteraceae. The record is from RNAcentral.
UGCAGUUUUCAAGAAGGUUUCUAGAUCCAGGUUAGCCGGAGAUGAGAAGGGUGGUCGGAGAAUGGGUUUAGGCAAUGCUCAAGCCAAGAAAGUAACUGUUUAAUGAAGCAUAUGAUCUAUUAACUUGAUAGGAAGCAUACCUGUUGCAUCAUGCCAGGUCCAAACUAUGGGAAACAAUAUGGGAUCUUUCCACUAUGUAACACCCCGAUCGCGUAAUACAACAAACUGCAGCGGAAUUACCGAGGAGUCACGUUACAGGAAAUUGUUUCACAACACAUGGUAUUUAAAGUAUUGUUUUAUUAAAUAAAUAAGUUGCAUUGACUUGGA